UGGGGAAUUUUGGGCAAUGGGCGAAAGCCUGACCCAGCAACGCCGCGUGCAGGAUGAAGGCCCUCGGGUCGUAAACUGCUGUCGGGAGGGAAGAAAAGCAGCGGGAGGAAAUGACCGCUGCCUGACGGUACCUCCAAAGGAAGCGCCGGCUAACUCCGUGCCAGCAGCCGCGGUAAUACGGAGGGCGCAAGCGUUGUUCGGAAUUACUGGGCGUAAAGCGCGUGUAGGCGGUCUGGCAAGUCGGUUGUGAAAUCCCCGGGCUCAACCCGGGAACUGCAUCCGAAACUUCCAGGCUAGAGUUUCGGAGAGGAAGGCAGAAUUCCCAAUGUAGGGGUGAAAUCCGUAGAUAUUGGGAGGAAUACCAGUGGCGAAGGCGGCCUUCUGGACGAUGACUGACGCUGAGACGCGAAAGCGUGGGGAGCAAACAGGAUUAGAUACCCGAGUAGUCCCUGAGCGGGCUGGCAAGGCGCAU
RNAcentral lists this ribosomal RNA (472 nucleotides) under uncultured bacterium. RNAcentral's name for it is "bacterial SSU rRNA". It matches the Rfam family "Bacterial small subunit ribosomal RNA", at positions 355 to 825 of the family's 1533-position model. The record is from RNAcentral.